RNAcentral lists this ribosomal RNA (253 nucleotides) under uncultured bacterium. RNAcentral describes it as "partial 16S ribosomal RNA". It matches the Rfam family "Bacterial small subunit ribosomal RNA", at positions 524 to 776 of the family's 1533-position model. The record is from RNAcentral.
UACGUAGGGACCGAGCGUUGUCCGGAUUCAUUGGGCGUAAAGAGCUCGUAGGCGGCUGUUCAAGUCGAACGUGAAAACUCGGGGCUCAACUCCGAGCCUGCGUUCGAUACUGGACGGCUAGAGUCUGGUAGGGGGAUCUGGAAUUCCUGGUGUAGCGGUGGAAUGCGCAGAUAUCAGGAGGAACACCGGUGGCGAAGGCGGUUCUCUGGGACGGUACUGACGCUGAGACGCGAAAGCGUGGGGAGCGAACAGG